This 481-nucleotide ribosomal RNA is filed under the name Blastocystis sp. PR-4. RNAcentral's name for it is "bacterial SSU rRNA". It matches the Rfam family "Eukaryotic small subunit ribosomal RNA", at positions 460 to 953 of the family's 1831-position model. Lineage: Eukaryota; Bigyra; Opalinata; Blastocystidae. The record is from RNAcentral.
GGAGGUAGUGACAAUAAAUCACAAUGCGGAACAAUGUUUUGCAAUUGGAUUGAGAACAACGUACAAACCUUAUCGAUAAACAAUUGGAGGGCAAGUCUGGUGCCAGCAGCCGCGGUAAUUCCAGCUCCAAUAGCGUAUAUUAACGUUGUUGCAGUUAAAAAGCUCGUAGUUGAAACGAAGGGUGGUGUUGUUGGAUUUACAUUCGUGUAUUUCUUUCAACUCCUCCCUCCUUCUAAAUUCGAUAUAUGAGUAUUAAUUUACUUGUAUAUGGUUUUAGACAUUUACUGUGAGAAAAUUAGAGUGUUCAAAGCAGGCAUUUGCUUGAAUAUAUUAGCAUGGAAUAAUCAUGUAUGAUUUUCAUGAUGUAUUUGAUUGGUUUUGGUCAUGAGAAUAAGAUUAAAAGGGACAGUUGGGGGUAUUCAUAUUCAAUAGUCAGAGGUGAAAUUCUCGGAUUUAUGGAAGAUGAACAAGUGCGAAAGCA